This 402-nucleotide unclassified non-coding RNA is filed under the name soil metagenome. RNAcentral describes it as "partial contains 5.8S ribosomal RNA, internal transcribed spacer 2, and large subunit ribosomal RNA". The stretch from base 1 to 121 matches the Rfam family "5.8S ribosomal RNA", at positions 35 to 154 of the family's 154-position model. The record is from RNAcentral.
GAUGAAGAACGUAGCGAAAUGCGAUAAGUAAUGUGAAUUGCAGAAUUCAGUGAAUCAUCGAAUCUUUGAACGCACCUUGCGACCUUUGGCUAUUCUGAAGGGCAUGCCUGUUUGAGUAUCGUGAACACCUCAACUCUCAUGGUCUGCCAUGAUGAGCUUGGACUUUGGGGGUCUUGCUGGCCUACUGUCAGCUCCUCUCAAAUGAAUCAGCUUACCAGUGUUUGGUGGCACCACAGGUGUGAUAACUAUCUACGCUUGUGGUUUUCUGCCAGGUAACCUCCAGUGAUGGAGGUUCGCUGGAGCUCACAAAUGUCUCUCCGCAGCGAGGACAGCUUUUUGAACGUUUGAUCUCAAAUCAGGUAGGACUACCCGCUGAACUUAAGCAUAUCAAUAAGCGGAGGA